This 445-nucleotide long non-coding RNA is filed under the name Phoenix dactylifera (date palm). RNAcentral's name for it is "long non-coding RNA (PDAC_LNC021696)". The record is from RNAcentral. Lineage: Eukaryota; Viridiplantae; Streptophyta; Magnoliopsida; Arecales; Arecaceae.
CAAUAUCUACUCCCCCUUUUUGUCAUCAACAAUGAAGGGGACAAAUUAUCCUUAAAUGCUUAAAACUCAAUUUUACAGUGUUCAUUUUACUCCCCCUUUGAUAUUCAGGUUGUGCUCCCCCUGUUUCAUAUGCUUUGAUACGUUGUGCCAAAUCUGAAUACUUAAUGUAUGUUAUGAGAUUCUUAUGACACAUCAAGAGGCACAUUCACAUUCACAGAAACACAUACAUAGAGUUGGCAAUGUACACACAGUUUUCAAAAGAGAUUGUAUUCAUGUAUCAUUGUGAACCUUUGAAGUCAGUACAUAGUCAAAAAGAAGAAAUCAUUACAAGUAUUGAUUUUUAAUACAAAAGUGUUUCAAAAUAGCCUAGGAUUUACAAAAAGAAGAUCCUACAAGAUAUCCAUCAUCGGCGACGUUGCUCAUGGGCCCUACCAGCUGUAUUUUG